GCGCCGGGGUGGAGUCAUCCUGGGAACCUCCACGCGACUUUGGUGGAGGUAGUUCUUUGGCAGCGGGCAUGGCGGGUACCGUGGUGCUGGACGAUGUGGAGCUGCGGGAGGCUCAGAGAGAUUACCUGGACUUCCUGGACGACGAGGAAGACCAGGGAAUUUAUCAGAGCAAAGUUCGGGAGCUGAUCAGUGACAACCAAUACCGGCUGAUUGUCAAUGUGAAUGACCUGCGCAGGAAAAACGAGAAGAGGGCUAACCGGCUUCUGAACAAUGCCUUUGAGGAGCUGGUUGCCUUCCAGCGGGCCUUAAAGGAUUUUGUGGCCUCCAUUGAUGCUACCUAUGCCAAGCAGUAUGAGGAGUUCUACGUAGGACUGGAAGGCAGCUUUGGCUCCAAGCACGUCUCCCCGCGGACUCUUACCUCCUGCUUCCUCAGCUGUGUGGUCUGUGUGGAGGGCAUUGUCACUAAAUGUUCUCUAGUUCGUCCCAAAGUCGUCCGCAGUGUCCACUACUGUCCUGCUACUAAGAAGACCAUAGAGCGACGUUAUUCUGAUCUCACCACCCUGGUGGCCUUUCCCUCCAGCUCUGUCUAUCCUACCAAGGAUGAGGAGAACAAUCCCCUUGAGACAGAAUAUGGCCUUUCUGUCUACAAGGAUCACCAGACCAUCACCAUCCAGGAGAUGCCGGAGAAGGCCCCAGCCGGCCAGCUCCCCCGCUCUGUGGACGUCAUUCUGGAUGAUGACUUGGUGGAUAAAGCGAAGCCUGGUGACCGGGUUCAGGUGGUGGGAACCUACCGUUGCCUUCCUGGAAAGAAGGGAGGCUACACCUCUGGGACCUUCAGGACUGUCCUGAUUGCCUGUAAUGUUAAGCAGAUGAGCAAGGAUGCUCAGCCCUCUUUCUCUGCUGAGGAUAUAGCCAAGAUCAAGAAGUUCAGUAAAACCCGAUCCAAGGAUAUCUUUGACCAGCUGGCCAAGUCAUUGGCCCCAAGUAUCCAUGGGCAUGACUAUGUCAAGAAAGCAAUCCUCUGCUUGCUCUUGGGAGGGGUGGAACGAGACCUAGAAAAUGGCAGCCACAUCCGUGGGGACAUCAAUAUUCUUCUAAUAGGAGACCCAUCCGUUGCCAAGUCUCAGCUUCUGCGGUAUGUGCUUUGCACUGCACCCCGAGCUAUCCCCACCACUGGCCGGGGCUCCUCUGGAGUGGGUCUGACGGCUGCUGUCACCACAGACCAGGAAACAGGAGAGCGCCGUCUGGAAGCAGGGGCCAUGGUCCUGGCUGACCGAGGCGUGGUUUGCAUUGAUGAAUUUGACAAAAUGUCUGACAUGGAUCGCACAGCCAUCCAUGAAGUGAUGGAGCAGGGUCGAGUGACCAUUGCCAAGGCUGGCAUCCAUGCUCGGCUGAAUGCCCGCUGCAGUGUUUUGGCAGCUGCCAACCCUGUCUACGGCAGGUAUGACCAGUAUAAGACUCCAAUGGAGAACAUUGGGCUACAGGACUCACUGCUGUCACGAUUUGACUUGCUCUUCAUCAUGCUGGAUCAGAUGGAUCCUGAGCAGGAUCGGGAGAUCUCAGACCAUGUCCUUCGGAUGCACCGUUACAGAGCACCUGGGGAGCAGGAUGGCGAUGCUAUGCCCUUGGGUAGUGCUGUGGAUAUCCUGGCCACAGAUGAUCCCAACUUUAGCCAGGAAGAUCAGCAGGACACCCAGAUUUAUGAGAAGCAUGACAACCUUCUACAUGGGACCAAGAAGAAAAAGGAGAAGAUGGUGAGUGCAGCAUUCAUGAAGAAGUACAUCCAUGUGGCCAAAAUCAUCAAGCCUGUCCUGACACAGGAGUCGGCCACCUACAUUGCAGAAGAGUAUUCACGCCUGCGCAGCCAGGAUAGCAUGAGCUCAGACACCGCCAGGACAUCUCCAGUUACAGCCCGAACACUGGAAACUCUGAUUCGACUGGCCACAGCCCAUGCGAAGGCCCGCAUGAGCAAGACUGUGGACCUGCAGGAUGCAGAGGAAGCUGUGGAGUUGGUCCAGUAUGCUUACUUUAAGAAGGUUCUGGAGAAGGAGAAGAAACGUAAGAAGCGAAGUGAGGAUGAAUCAGAGACAGAAGAUGAAGAGGAGAAAAGCCAAGAGGACCAGGAGCAGAAGAGGAAGAGAAGGAAGACUCGCCAGCCAGAUGCCAAAGAUGGGGAUUCAUACGACCCCUAUGACUUCAGUGACACAGAGGAGGAAAUGCCUCAAGUACACACUCCAAAGACGGCAGACUCACAGGAGACCAAGGAAUCCCAGAAAGUGGAGUUGAGUGAAUCCAGUGUUUAUUUUUUACUUUUUGUAGAGACGGGAUCUCACCAUGUUGCCCAGGCUGGUCUUGGACUCCUGGCCUCAAGCAGUCCUUCUACCUGAGCCUCCCAAAAGGCUGGGAUUACAGGCAUAAGCCACUGUGCUUGUUUGAUCUCAUUCUUUUUAAUGACUGCAGGGUUUCCAUGGUUGAAGGCAUUCAAGGUGGCCCUCUUGGAUGUGUUCCGGGAAGCUCAUGCGCAGUCAAUCGGCAUGAAUCGCCUCACAGAAUCCAUCAACCGGGACAGCGAAGAGCCCUUCUCUUCAGUUGAGAUCCAGGCUGCUCUGAGCAAGAUGCAGGAUGACAAUCAGGUCAUGGUGUCUGAGGGCAUCAUCUUCCUCAUCUGAGGAGGCCUCGUCUCUGAACUUGGGUUGUGCCGAGAGAGUUUGUUCUGUGUUUCCCACCCUCUCCCUGACCCAAGUCUUUGCCUCUACUCCCUUAACAGUGUUGAAUUCAACUGAAGGCGAGGAAUGUUGGUGAUGAAGCUGAGUUCAGGACUCGGUGGACCCUUUGGGAAUGGGUCAUGAAAGCUGCCAUGGGGUGAGGAAAGAGGAGACAGUGGGAGAGGACAAUGACUAUUGCAUCUUCAUUGCAAAAGCACUGGCUCAUCCGCCCUACUUCCCAUCCCACACAAACCCAAUUGUAAAUAACAUAUGACUUCUGAGUACUUUUGGGGGCACAACUGUUUUCUGUUUGCUGUUUUUUUGUUUUGUUUUUUUUCUCCAGAGCACUUUGGUCUAGACUAGGCUUUGGGUGGUUCCAAUUGGUGGAGAGAAGCUCUGAGGCACGUCAUGCAGGUCAAGAAAGCUUUCUUUGCAGUAGCACCAGUUAAGGUGAAUAUGUAUUGUAUCACAAAACAAACCCAAUAUCCAGAUGAAUAUCCGAGAUGUUGAAUAAACUUAGCCAUUUCGUACACAUGG
Homo sapiens (human) is the source of this 3242-nucleotide RNA transcript. It is a transcript of the gene named minichromosome maintenance complex component 3, with no coding region annotated. Lineage: Eukaryota; Metazoa; Chordata; Mammalia; Primates; Hominidae. The transcript is spliced from 18 exons. The record is from RefSeq and is marked reviewed.